Long non-coding RNA from Lycium ferocissimum, 2869 nucleotides. RefSeq lists it as uncharacterized. NCBI's taxonomy places the organism in Eukaryota, Viridiplantae, Streptophyta, Magnoliopsida, Solanales, Solanaceae. The record is from RefSeq and is a predicted model, not a curated record. The transcript has 10 exons.
UAUGGAUUUGUGGGGUUUGGAUAUGGUAUCAUUGGCCAAGAAAUUGCAAAUGUGAUGCAAAUAUGGAAUGUCCUAUAGGACACUGUUUGGACAGCCUGAUGCUACUAAAUGGUUGACGUUGAAGUUGCUGUCGUUGAUGCCAUUGUGCAAGAGCUUGGUUGUCCUUGGGGGUUCCACUGAUGACCAGAUAAAGUUUGGGUGCUUAAUGUUAUUGUUGUGGCAAAUAUACUUCUUUGGCCAUAUAAAAGACUUUGAUAUGUAGACAAUUAGUGGGGAGCGUGCUACUACAUUGCUCUUAACCCGAACCUGGAGGGCAAGGUUCUUAUUGAGGGUGGGAGUGUUGUUAUGAAUGUGGCCACUGUGGAGGACCCGUUUGGAGAGUUGGCAAAUUAUGUUUGGGACCCUGGCUAAAAGGAGCAUGUGAGAGGGCUACAAGUAGAGGAGAAAAUGUUCCCUUAGGGUUAUGUUAUGAAGUUGUCUCUUUAUUUUUCUUAGUUUCUUAACCUCCCUCACUUCUUCCUUUUUUAUGUUCUUCUUCCCUUGGAAGAUUUGAUUACUAGUAGAACUCUUAUAUUUGUACGUGUAAUUUCAAUUAUCUAUUUCAAUACACUAUGGUUUUGUUACAUUGCCUCUCUUCUUGUUUUCUUUGUCUUUUUAUUUCACUGUUAGGUUAAAUAAGUAAAUUGAUUUGGUAAUUAAUUUUGUAAAUUAUUGUUUAUGUCAGAUUUUAGAGAUGGUUAUCAAGGAUUUACUGCAAGAGUAUCCGGACAUGAUCUGCAAUUAAACUAAAUGGACUCUUGCACAGUGAGGACAAUUGUGCUGUAAAGGUAUGAAUACAAUCUUGCUUCUUUCAGCUAAUUUUCUUUUGUACAGUUUGGAUUUCUGUUCCUUAUAAGAGUUUAUACAUAUGUUGCAGUGUGGGCACUUUUGUUCCAUACCUAAAAUGUUUACACCUUUUCAUAUGUUCUUACCUAGAUCCAAUCAGUAAAUUUAGGUAUCAGAUUGUUCAUACUUUCAAGAGUUUACCUCAAUAACCGCUCGAACAAUUUGCUAAGACUUAAUGAUUUUUCACUGGACCAUCUGACAUUAGAAAAAAAACGAUGGUUGUUCUAGUUGGUUUGUGUUACCAUCUAAGAAGGAAAAAGAUCAACUGAAUAAAUGCUGUUUUUUGGUUGAUUCAUUGGUAGAUUUUUCUUUUUGUGGUUUUAUAUCUGUGUUUAAACUUGAUUUGGCUCUAGAAAUCAGCUCUUUGUUCUGGUAGAGUUAUGCAACAAAAAGAAAGCUGAAAUUCUAAAUUCAAGAUAGGUUAUGCAAGCGUAGUGUGAAAUUCUGAAUAAUUUGCAACUUCCUUAACAUGCCAAUAAACAUUAUUUGAAAGCAGAAAUUGUACCGGAAUAGUUGCCCCCAGGUCUUAGUUCAAGUAGCAAAGGUUGAGGCACAUGUGACUUAGGUCACAGGUUCAAGCCCUGUGUCAUACAAACUAAGCCUGGUAUGUAAAUCGAGGAGGAUAGAGGGCCAGACCCAUUAUCCCCAAGUUUUAAAGUUGUGGUUCGUCCUAAUCAAGAAGAGAGAGAGACCACAGUCAAUUGAAACUUUUGUGCAUAAAUUAUCACUUCCUUUGCUUUUCUUACAGAUUGAUAUCUAGGAAUUGAUUAAGCAAGAGUUCACUUUCCAAGAGGAUAUUUAGUGUAUCCAAGCAAAUUCUGUUAGCAUUAUCAAAAUAUUCAAAUAUAGAUGCACUAAAUACCGGAUUCAUCUGCAUCUUCUUCUACUUUUGGUUUAACUAUUUUAUCUUCCUUGGAACGGUUAAAAUAUAUACCUCUUUGAACAAAGGGUGUUACAUAUCAGUUCUUGUUUUAGAUAUUUGUCCAUAAUGUUGUCCUUGACCUCUGUAUCCAUUUUUUGAUAUAGUUAUUUCAUCUUGCAGGAGAUUGCAUAGAAAAUCAAUUGGUUUUCUCAACGAUGGGAUUGUGGAUUGGCUCAUAAGACCAUUAUCUUUGUGUUGGAUGAGUUUGACCUUUUUACACAGGGUAAACAGCGAUUACUCUAUAGUUUGCUAGAUGCAAUGCAGUCUGUAACUUCGCAAGCUGUUGUCAUUGGUGUGAGUUGCAGAUUGGAUGCUGAUCAACUCUUAGAGAAGAGAGUAAGGUCUCGUUUCUCGCAUAGAAAGCUGUUGUUUCUACCCCCUUCACAGGAAGACUUGCAAAACACGCUUUACUACUGCUAGCGGAGCCAGGCCUUCCUCCCCAUUAUGUAGCUGCUUAUAAGAAAAGGCUUCUUAAUACUAUGAAAAAUUCAAAGACGUCAUUGAGUCGUUAUGCAAUUCUGAUUCAACUUAUAACCAUCUAUUGAGAUUUCUGUUUGCUGCUGUGUGCCAUAUGGAUACAAAAUCUGGAUUAUUAUCACUUGAUAAUUUUAAAGCAGCACUAUCAAGUAUUCAACGGCAACCCAAGUUCGAAGCCUUGCAAGAUUGCUCCAUUUUACAGUUAUAUAUUCUUGUUUGCUGGAGGAGGUAGGAAGUCAAAGAGCAAGAGACUACUAACUUCAAUUCAGUAAUGAAAGGCAUUUGAACAUCUUUGACAACGCCAAUUGAUAUCCUUGGUUGACAACAGAGGGCAUGGCCAAUCUGUUGAAUUCCGUCCAGUGAGGCUUUUGAUCUUAUCACAUGAACUACAUCAGGGACUGAAAUCAUACCGUUCUUGUCCAAUAAGUUACUUUCAGGAACAAUUAUAUUCUUUUAGUCUGAAAUAUACUCGGGUGGUUGCGGAUAUCAAUAUCAUGAAAAAAAUAAACACACUUUCCAGUCAGUCGGUAUAAGCAAGUAGAGAAUUUUCCUUAAUGCCAUGUUCAUUAUCUAGUACUUCAUAAA